AUUGUUAGUUGCCAUCAUUCAGUUGGGGCACUCUAGCGAGACUGCCGGUAAUAAACCGGAGGAAGGUGGGGAUGACGUCAAAUCAUCAUGCCCCUUAUGACCUGGGCUACACACGUGCUACAAUGGUUGGUACAACGAGUUGCGAGUCGGUGACGGCGAGCUAAUCUCUUAAAGCCAAUCUCAGUUCGGAUUGUAGGCUGCAACUCGCCUACAUGAAGUCGGAAUCGCUAGUAAUCGCGGAUCAGCACGCCCGCGGUCAUCGUUCCGGCCUU
Molecule: ribosomal RNA, 272 nt
Filed under: uncultured Streptococcus sp.
Lineage: Bacteria; Bacillati; Bacillota; Bacilli; Lactobacillales; Streptococcaceae
Description: partial 16S ribosomal RNA
Rfam family: Bacterial small subunit ribosomal RNA
Source: RNAcentral